GAGCUCACUGGUGACGUAGAUCUCAUGUGACCAGGAGUCGACGUGUGCAGAAGUCCUGGUAGUCUGGUCCUUGUUCCCGUCUGGAUACCAGCUUCCUUCAGCAGUGCAGGCGGUGGUCCCUGAGGCUAGUGCAAGGAGUGAAACUUGCGGGAAUUUUGCAGGUCUGUUGUUUCUAGCAAGACCCAAAGCUAGAAAAGGAGGAGGAAGAAACUGACCCGAUCAGUGCCAGAAGUUAUUGUAUUCCAAGAAGAAUAAGCAAAAAAAUAAAAGAAGGAAGGAAGGA
This 283-nucleotide long non-coding RNA is filed under the name Papio anubis (olive baboon). RNAcentral describes it as "lncRNA (ENSPANG00000039760.1)". Lineage: Eukaryota; Metazoa; Chordata; Mammalia; Primates; Cercopithecidae. The record is from RNAcentral.